UGCAGUGCCGAAUGGAGGAGGCAGGAACCGGAGCAUGAGCAGUAGCUGGGUGGGCACCAUGGCUGGGAUCACCACCAUCGAGGCAGUGAAGCACAAGAUCCAGGUUCUGCUGCACCAGGCAGGUGAUGCAGAGGAGCGAGCUGAGUGCUUCCAGUGAGAAGCUGAGGGAGAAAGGCGGGCCCGGGAACAGGCUGAGGCUGAGGUGGCCUCCGUGAACGGUAGGAUCCAGCUGGUUGAAGAAGAGCUGGACUGUGCUCAGGAGCGCCUGGCCACUGCCCUGCAAAAGCUGGAAGAAGCAGGAAAAGCUGCUGAUGAGAGUGAGAGAGAUAUAAACGUUAUUGAAAUCUGGGUCUUAAAAGAUGAAGAAGAUGGAACUCCAGGAAAUCCAACUCAAUGAAGCUAAGCACAUUGCAGAAGAGGCAGAUAGGAAGUAUGAAGAGGUGGCUCAUAAGUUGGUGAUUAUUGAAGGAGACAUGGAAUGCACAGAGGAAUGAGCUGAGCUGGCAGAAUCCCAUUAUUGAGAGAUGGAUGAGCAGAUCAGACUGAUGGACCAGAACCUGAAGUGUCUGAGUGCAGCUGAAGAAAAGUACUCUCAAAAAGAAGACAAAUGUGAGGAAAAGAUGAAGAUUCUUACUGAUAAUCUCAAGGAGGCAGAGACCCGUGCUGAGUUUGCUGAGAGAUCGGUAGCCAAGCUGGAAAAGACAAUUGAUGACUUGGAAGAUAAACUGAAAUGCACCAAAGAGGAACACCUCUGUACACACAGGAUGCUGGACCAGACUCCGCUUGACCUGAAUGAGAUGUAGAAUGCCCCAGACCCACCCUGGUGCUGCUCCUCCCUCUGACCCUGACUCCACUUGAGGCCAGCCUGCCUGAAGCUGAGCUUUACCUCAGGGCUGAUCUUUAACUGGAAGGCUGCUUUCUCCUUUCGCCA
This is an RNA transcript of Nomascus leucogenys (northern white-cheeked gibbon), 931 nucleotides long. It is a transcript of the gene named tropomyosin alpha-3 chain pseudogene, with no coding region annotated. NCBI's taxonomy places the organism in Eukaryota, Metazoa, Chordata, Mammalia, Primates, Hylobatidae. The record is from RefSeq and is a predicted model, not a curated record. The transcript has a single exon.